RNAcentral lists this ribosomal RNA (138 nucleotides) under uncultured eukaryote. RNAcentral's name for it is "partial 18S ribosomal RNA". It matches the Rfam family "Eukaryotic small subunit ribosomal RNA", at positions 1299 to 1458 of the family's 1831-position model. The record is from RNAcentral.
UGGUGGAGCGAUUUGUCUGGUUAAUUCCGAUAACGAACGAGACUCUGGCCUAUUAAAUAGUUCGCCGAUUCCGAUCUGUCGGCGUUAACUUCUUAGAGGGACAAGUGGCUUUUAGCCACGCGAGGUUGAGCAAUAACA